Molecule: ribosomal RNA, 251 nt
Filed under: uncultured prokaryote
Description: partial 16S ribosomal RNA
Rfam family: Bacterial small subunit ribosomal RNA
Source: RNAcentral
ACGUAGGAGGCGAGCGUUAUCCGGAUUCACUGGGCGUAAAGCGCGUGCAGGCGGUUCGGUAAGUUGGGCGUGAAAGCUCCUGGCUCAACUGGGAGAGGCCGUCCGAAACUGCCGGGCUUGAGGGCGACAGAGGGGAGUGGAAUUCCGGGUGUAGUGGUGAAAUGCGUAGAUAUCCGGAGGAACACCAGUGGCGAAGGCGGCGCGCUGGGCCUGACCUGACGCUAAGACGCGAGAGCAUGGGGAGCGAACGG